Molecule: ribosomal RNA, 615 nt
Rfam family: 5.8S ribosomal RNA (bases 233-386)
AAAUAAGGCUUUUCGUAUGUGACCUGCGGAGGAUCAUUAAAAGUAAAUAUGUAUUCUCUGGAAUAUACGUUUCAAACCCAUCUGUGUAUCUUACCUGUUGCUUCCGUACCGCGUGGACUUCGGUCCCCUCAUGCUGUACUUCGGUACGGUUCCAGAGUGCCGGUGCGGAAGGUAUACAUCAAACUCUUGCAUUCCAUGUCUUCUGUCUGAACUGUUAAUAACAAAAGUUUAAAACUUUCAACAACGGAUCUCUUGGUUCUCGCAUCGAUGAAGAACGCAGCGAAAUGCGAUAAGUAGUGUGAAUUGCAGAAUUCAGUGAAUCAUCGAAUCUUUGAACGCACAUUGCGCCUCCUGGUAUUCCGGGAGGCAUGCCUGUUCGAGCGUCAUUAAAAACCACUCAAGCUCUUUUGCUUGGUCAUGGAAGAAGAGUCCGCUUGCCGGUCUCCCUUUCGAAAUGCAAUGGCGGAAGGUCUCUUGUACCCAGCGUAGUAAUAACUUUUCGCUUUGUGCAUUGAUUCAUUCCUGCCGUCAAACCCCCAAUUUUCUUAGGUUGACCUCGGAUCAGGUAGGGAUACCCGCUGAACUUAAGCAUAUCAAUAGCGCAGGGAGGAGUCU